CACCGCCCGUCGCUCCUACCGAUUGAAUGAUCCGGUGAAGUGUUCGGAUUGCAGCGAUGCUGACGGUUCGCCGCCGGCGACGCUGUGAGAAGUUCAUUAAACCUUAUCAUUUAGAGGAAGGAGAAGUCGUAACAAGGUUUCCGUAGGUGAACCUGCGGAAG
This 161-nucleotide ribosomal RNA is filed under the name Selaginella moellendorffii. RNAcentral's name for it is "rRNA SSU_rRNA_eukarya". It matches the Rfam family "Eukaryotic small subunit ribosomal RNA", at positions 1667 to 1823 of the family's 1831-position model. Lineage: Eukaryota; Viridiplantae; Streptophyta; Lycopodiopsida; Selaginellales; Selaginellaceae. The record is from RNAcentral.